Molecule: long non-coding RNA, 411 nt
Organism: Camelus dromedarius (Arabian camel)
Lineage: Eukaryota; Metazoa; Chordata; Mammalia; Artiodactyla; Camelidae
Exons: 3
Source: RefSeq, a predicted model, not a curated record
ACUCGCAGCUCUCCAUUUUCCGGUCACAGACUGGAACUUUCCUCUGCUCGGAACUCAGCGCUUCUGGACUAGUGCAGUACAGAAGCUGUCAGAAAGAGUGGUUUCAGAUACUGCUGUUGACACACACACCCACUGUGAAAGAUCACACUCAUAGAGACCUGAAACAAAAAUACUAGAAUCACGAAAGUGGAAGAGACCAUAGAGACAUCAUCUUGCCUCAGAUGAAGAUAUUUCUCUUCUCCACCUGGACUCCACGAGAUGGUCGGAUGCAUGUAAGUACCCAAAUAGCAAUGCAUUCAGUACCCAGGGGAUUAAACCACAUGAAAGUUAACAUGUAUGCCUGACCUAAAAGGUAUGAAAUAGAAAAAAAUCUGUACAUUGAAAGGAGAAAGGAGAGAAAAUAUGCAAUAU